GGGCUGCMGUAUUUUGACUGUACAAAGGUAGCAUAAUCAAUAGUCUCUUAAUUGGUGACUUGUAUGAAAGAUUGGAUGAGAUAUAAACUGUCUCUAAUUGAUUUAUAAAAAUUAAUUUUUUAGUAAAAAAGCUAAAAUAAUUUUAAAAGACGAGAAGACCCUAUAGAGUUUAAUAUUUUAUUUAGUAAUUAUUAAUAUAUGUAAUUUUAAAAAUUAAAAUUAAAUGAAAUAUUUUGUUGGGGUGAUAAAAAAAUUAAAUUAACUUUUUUUGAUUGUAAACAUUAAUUUAUGGUUAAAUGAUCCAUUUAUAGUGAUUAAAAGAAAAAAUUACCUUAGGGAUAACAGCGUAAUUUUUUUUUUUAGUUCAAAUAGGAAAAAAAGUUUGCGACCUCGAUGUUGGAUUAA
This 405-nucleotide ribosomal RNA is filed under the name Papilio aegeus ormenus. RNAcentral's name for it is "partial 16S ribosomal RNA". Lineage: Eukaryota; Metazoa; Arthropoda; Insecta; Lepidoptera; Papilionidae. The record is from RNAcentral.